UAAGGAAUAUUGGUCAAUGGACGCAAGUCUGAACCAGCCAUGCCGCGUGGAGGAUGAAGGUCCUCUGGAUUGUAAACUUCUUUUAUCUGGGACGAAACACUUCUUUUCUAAGAGGCCUGACGGUACCAGAUGAAUAAGCACCGGCUAACUCCGUGCCAGCAGCCGCGGUAAUACGUAGGGUGCAAGCGUUAAUCGGAAUUACUGGGCGUAAAGCGUGCGCAGGCGGUUUUGUAAGACGGAUGUGAAAUCCCCGGGCUUAACCUGGGAACUGCAUUCGUGACUGCAAGGCUAGAGUAUGGCAGAGGGGGGUAGAAUUCCACGUGUAGCAGUGAAAUGCGUAGAGAUGUGGAGGAAUACCGAUGGCGAAGGCAGCCCCCUGGGCCAAUACUGACGCUCAUGCACGAAAGCGUGGGGAGCAAACA
This 422-nucleotide ribosomal RNA is filed under the name uncultured bacterium. Its description in RNAcentral is "bacterial SSU rRNA". It matches the Rfam family "Bacterial small subunit ribosomal RNA", at positions 355 to 774 of the family's 1533-position model. The record is from RNAcentral.